GAUCCUGGCUCAGGACGAACGCUGGCGGCGUGCUUAACACAUGCAAGUCGAACGGAGCACCCUUGAAUGAGGUUUCGGCCAAAUGAUAGGAAUGCUUAGUGGCGGACUGGUGAGUAACGCGUGAGGAACCUGCCUUUCAGAGGGGGACGAACAGUUGGAAACGGCUGCUAAUACCGCAUGACGCAUUCGAUGGCAUCAUCUGAAUGCCAAAGAUUUAUUCGCUGAAAGA
Molecule: ribosomal RNA, 229 nt
Filed under: uncultured bacterium
Lineage: Bacteria
Description: partial 16S ribosomal RNA
Rfam family: Bacterial small subunit ribosomal RNA
Source: RNAcentral